GUCGGGAUAGCUCAGUGG
RNAcentral lists this transfer RNA (18 nucleotides) under Portea petropolitana var. extensa. RNAcentral describes it as "partial tRNA-Phe". RNAcentral also lists the same sequence under 2 other names. Lineage: Eukaryota; Viridiplantae; Streptophyta; Magnoliopsida; Poales; Bromeliaceae. The record is from RNAcentral.